RNAcentral lists this ribosomal RNA (406 nucleotides) under uncultured bacterium. RNAcentral's name for it is "partial 16S ribosomal RNA". It matches the Rfam family "Bacterial small subunit ribosomal RNA", at positions 30 to 526 of the family's 1533-position model. The record is from RNAcentral.
AUUGAACGCUGGCGGCAGGCCUAACACAUGCAAGUCGAGCGAGCGGCGGACGGGUGAGUAAUGUCUGGGAAAACGCCUGAUGGAGGGGGGUAACUACUGGAAACGGUAGCUAAUACCGCAUACCAUCAGAUGUGCCCAGAUGGGAUUAGCUAGUAGGUGGGGUAACGGCUCACCUAGGCGACGAUCCCUAGCUGGGCUGAGAGGAUGACCAGCCACACUGGGACUGAGACACGGCCCAGACUCCUACGGGAGGCAGCAGUGGGGAAUAUUGGACAAUGGGCGAAACCCUGAUGCAGCCAUGCCGCGUGUAUGAAGAAGGCCUUCGGGUUGUAAAGUACUUUCAGCAGAGAAGCGUUACCUGCAGAAGAAGCACCGGCUAACUCCGUGCCAGCAGCCGCGGUAAUUC